Molecule: non-coding RNA, 568 nt
Organism: Heterocephalus glaber (naked mole-rat)
Lineage: Eukaryota; Metazoa; Chordata; Mammalia; Rodentia; Bathyergidae
Source: RefSeq, a predicted model, not a curated record
UCCACCAGUCACCACCUUCUUCUUUCGCCCCUGGCAGCACAUUCCCCAGAUGGAACCAGCUAAGUGGAAACUCAUGUAUCUCCUCAGCUGGAAAUGGAGAUAGUAAGAUCUUGUGAGGGCUUCCUGGAGGCCUGGAUUUGGCCAGAUAACAUGCUUUUCUGAAGUUGAGCAAUGCUCUCUAGAAUGACUGACUGGGUCAGGCCAGGCAUGUGCACAGUGGAGGAGACCAUUGGACCACGGAGGUGACCAGCAGUAGCAGCAGCCAGCACACCAUUUACCCAACAGGAAAAUCUGGAAGAGCCAUACUCAGCAGCCCAGCACUUCCUGGAUCAACCUUAGCUCCACUCAGAAAGCUGAGCUUCUCCAUCAGCCUUGACAGCUAAUUAAUUCCACCUGGAGGAAGGAACUAGGCAUUGAGCAAGGAAGAGUCCUUAUUCCACGUUUGGGAAAGAAUUGACAGAAGCUCUCUUGUGUAGAUCUGAGGAAUGGCAAAGGAUCAACCAAGUCCACUGGUUUUGAAGGAUCUCAAAGAUCGCUGAGUCUGACCUCAUUGUUUUACUGGCAACUA